This is a long non-coding RNA of Zalophus californianus (California sea lion), 1097 nucleotides long. RefSeq lists it as uncharacterized. Lineage: Eukaryota; Metazoa; Chordata; Mammalia; Carnivora; Otariidae. The record is from RefSeq and is a predicted model, not a curated record. The transcript has 6 exons.
GGCAAAGACCCCUCCUUCCCUGUUUAUAAACACCGCUACCUGCCCCGUGGAGACCUUAAAUAUCAUCUCCAGGAGAGGAGGUCCAACUACGUACAUCCUCACAAAAAGUUGCACCCCGGUCAGGAAAUGCCUGGAGGCAUCGCAGCGAUGGCAGUCUCCGCAGUGACUGACGUCCCGAAUUCGCCCGUGAGGAUUCACAACCAUCUUCCCAGGCAAAUGUGAAUUACAUUAUUCUUAUGGAGGUCUGAGAAGAGAGUCUGCAACUUGGGCCAGGUGCAGAGUGAGGAAUAAGUGAAGAUUCAGACUCAAGAAAGAGAAAAUCUUACUGGAGAAAACCAUGCCAAGCCUGAGAACGUUGAGUACCCGAGGCCAAGUUCAACAAGGCCAGGGAACUUUCCAGCAAGAAAUGAUCCCAUCUGUAACAAGGCCAGUCUCAUGGGUUGUAGCUCACAAUUGGCAGGAAGUUAUGGUGCCAUAACUCAUAUGGGAUAAGAUUCAUCAUUGGGCCCCUGGACUUCACACCUCGGACCCUAAGAAUGCCCCUUUGAAUGUCUUCCCUCCUGCCCAAAAGAUUGAGGAUCCAUUGGAGAGUCUGACUCUGGAACCAGUGCUUCAGACAGACAUUGUUGAAGCUGGAUUAAGUGGAUAUACAAGGACCUGCACAUUUGCUACCAGCAUCCUCCCAGUUCACCCCAUACCCCACCCACGUGGACUCAUCAUCCUCAUGUUUGUGCUGCCAAACUUUGCGCAUACCACUUCCUUGCCUGGGAAGGAUUUUCUGGUUCCGCUUGCCUGGAAAAGCCCAAUCAUCCUUCAAGAACCAGCUCCAAGGUCACCUCCUCUAUGAAGACUCCCCUGAGAGAGGAGGGAACUGUCGUCUAUACACUCAGUUAUUCACCCACACAUGCUUAUUGAGUGCUGUCCAUACCCUUCAGCCAAGACCACCAGGAACAUGCCAGCAAUGAACUAAGAUCCCUGAGGAAAUUUUGAGAGAGAAUGGAACUUGUUUUGUGAACUGAAAACCAAGUAGCUCAUGUUUGGCUAAAGAUGAAAGAAAAAAAAGAAAGAAAAGAAAAACUCAAGAGGAGAAACAAAAU